AUGCCCACUUCGGCAGCAUAUAUACUAAAAUUAGAACAAUACAGAGAAGAUUAGCGUGGUCCCUGCACAAGGAUGACACACAAAUUCGUGAAGUGUUCCAUAUUUUU
RNAcentral lists this small nuclear RNA (107 nucleotides) under Prolemur simus (greater bamboo lemur). The record is from RNAcentral. Lineage: Eukaryota; Metazoa; Chordata; Mammalia; Primates; Lemuridae.